AUGGCUUUGGGAACUGACUUGUGCCCGAAUAGUUACUGGCAAUAUUUCUCUUGGUGCAACACCUUCCUCCUUGCUAGAGGAAAGUAUUAUACUGUGGGUCUUGCUGCUGUUUGUUGGGCGAUCUGGCUUGCUCUAAACCGAGCAAGUUUUGAGAAAAAACAGAUUAAUACUCCCUUUGAGAUUGUUUUCUCCAUGGUUUCCUUUUUGCUGUACUGGGCAGGUUUACAAUAGGAAGAAGGGCUCAAGGAGCUGCGAAGCGGGGCGGAGAUGGUCAGGUCGAGCACAAUGCGGCUGAUGAAGAUGUGCGAAGCGGCGAGGAGGCCAAUCGAGGGAGAAUGA
This 339-nucleotide ribosomal RNA is filed under the name Triticum aestivum (bread wheat). Its description in RNAcentral is "partial small subunit ribosomal RNA". Lineage: Eukaryota; Viridiplantae; Streptophyta; Magnoliopsida; Poales; Poaceae. The record is from RNAcentral.